RNAcentral lists this ribosomal RNA (429 nucleotides) under Gemmatimonadota bacterium. RNAcentral's name for it is "Gemmatimonadetes bacterium partial 16S ribosomal RNA". It matches the Rfam family "Bacterial small subunit ribosomal RNA", at positions 355 to 776 of the family's 1533-position model. The record is from RNAcentral. Lineage: Bacteria; Pseudomonadati; Gemmatimonadota.
UAGGGAAUCUUCGGCAAUGGACGAAAGUCUGACCGAGCAACGCCGCGUGAGUGAAGAAGGAUUUCGGAUCGUAAAACUCUGUUGUUAGAGAAGAACAAGGACGUUAGUAACUGAACGUCACCUGACGGUAUCUAAGCAGAAAGCCACGGCUAACUACGUGCCAGCAGCCGCGGUAAUACGUAGGUGGCAAGCGUUGUCCGGAUUUAUUGGGCGUAAAGCGAGCGCAGGCGGUUUCUUAAGUCUGAUGUGAAAGCCCCCGGCUCAACCGGGGAGGGUCAUUGGAAACUGGGAGACUUGAGUGCAGAAGAGGAGAGUGGAAUUCCAUGUGUAGCGGUGAAAUGCGUAGAUAUAUGGAGGAACACCAGUGGCGAAGGCGGCUCUCUGGCCUGUAACUGACGCUGAGGCUCGAAAGCGUGGGGAGCAAACAGG